Chiloscyllium plagiosum (whitespotted bambooshark) is the source of this 1011-nucleotide non-coding RNA. Lineage: Eukaryota; Metazoa; Chordata; Chondrichthyes; Orectolobiformes; Hemiscylliidae. The record is from RefSeq and is a predicted model, not a curated record.
UUCAAAUUCCGAUAGUUAGAUUUAUAAUGCAAACUGCCUGGGUAGGUUUGUCACACAGCAAAUUAUAUCACUAUCAACUCAUCGUCUUUUUUUUUCUGUUUACAGCUUCUCAGCCUGAACAGACAGCCUAGAAUUUUCAUCAAACUCUACUUAUCAAAUGCCCCCUAGUUAUACUAUUCCAAAACUGCUAAUUAACAAAUCAAAUCAACAUACUAAACAAGGUAAUGCUUUUAAUUGAGCCACAUCCGCAUUAUCUGGUUCAAUUAUCUCUCAAGUCAAAUCCUAUAUCAGCGUGCAUGUGGAACCCAGGAAGUAAUUUACUCGACCGCAAUGGUUCUACAAGCUACCCGUGGAAAUUGGGUUUUAAUUUGAGAAAUUAUCACAAUUGGCACUUGAUAUUUUGCCCUUUAGAAAUUAAUUUCCCCCUUAUUUUGCGUAGGCUGAGAGGAAUUUGUUCAUUCUUCUGCCAGAAGAUAAGGGUGAUGAUACCUUUCCUCAUGGAUUUGCACAUGCUACCUGACAGAAACGUACUGUUGCACACUUCCAGCAGGUCCUAGCCAAAUCAUCGAUAGUCACAGGAUUAAAUAUCAUUCUAUGGUCAAGACACCUCAGAGACCAAGAUCAUUGGACAUUGUGUAUCUAUUUUCUUCAACUGGGAUUUUAAGCUCUAACAUUGUCAGGUGUAGGAACUAAAUUCACAUCUAUAUCAUCGAUCCUGGUAGAAGAGGUGGAUGCUUGUGGUUGCAGUGAGUCUAGAGAUGACUCUCUUGAGUGUGAUGCCCCUCCUAUAUCAUAGGGAAAGAACUGUUAGCAUUUGGUAAUUAUUUUAGCUGCCCUUUAAGCUGUUGCUUUUCUUUUACUUAAGAGAUCCAUUUUCAAAAGUUUUCUACAUUUUUAACCAGUCUCUCUAUGACAGUGGGAAAUAAAAACUCGACAAAAACUGAGCUCAAUCCUUUUAUGUUUUCAAAUAAAACAGAAGUUAAAAAAUGCAAUGUAGCUGGUAUCAAGGAG